AGAGUUUGAUCGGUUCACUGAACGCUGGCGGGACGUUUUCAUGCAAGUCGAACGGCAGCACGGACUUCGGUCUGGUGGCGAGUAGCGAACGGAGUAAUGUAUCGGAACGUGUCAGUAGCGGGGGAUAACUACGCGAAAGGCAGCUAAUACCGCACACUGCCUCUUCGGGAAAGCGGGGACCUUCGCCUCGUUCAGAGCGGCCGAUAUUUGGAUUAGCUAGUUGGUGGGGCAACGGCUCACUAAGGCGACGAUCCGUAGCUGGUUUGAGGAGGACGACCAGCCACACUGGGACUGAGACGGCCCAGACUCCCGGCAUGGAGUGGUAGUGGGAAUUUUGGAUAAUGGGGAAACCCUGAUCCAGCCAUCUCGGCGUGUGCGAUGCAUACUUUCGGUUGCCACUUUGGCAGGAAGAAACGGCACUGAUACACACUGUGCAACUGACGGUAACUGGGCACAAGCACCUGGCACCACGUGCCAGCAGCCGUGUAAUACCGUAGGGUGCAAGCAAUCGGAAUUACUGGGCGUAAAAGCGUGCGCAGGCGGUUCGGAAAGAAAGAUGUGAAAUCCCAGAGCUUAACUUUGAACCACGCAACCGACGAGUGCCAGAGGAGGCGGGAAUUCGCGUAGCAGUGAUAGGUGCAGAUACGUGAGGAGCCCAACGAUGGCGGGCGCAGCCUCCCGGGGAUAACACUGACGUUCAUGCACGAAAGCGUGGGGAGCAAACAGGAUUAGAUACUCUGGUGAACCACGCCCCAAACGAUGUCAACUAGCUGUUAGCCUCGCUUGCAGCGCAGCUAAUGCGGAAGUUGACCGCCUGGGGAGUACGGUCGCAAGAUUAAAACUCAAAGGAAUUGAUUGGGACUGCACCAAGCGGUGGAUGAUGUGGAUUGACCAUGCAAUUCAAGAACCACUCACUCUUGACAUGUCUGGAAUCCCGAAGAGAUUUGGGAGGUGUUUCGCAGAGAAUCAGAAUUAUAGUGCCGGGCUAUUUGUCGUCAGCUCGUGUCGUGGAGAUAAGUUGGGUUAAGUCCGGCACCGAGCGCAACCCGGUCAUUAGUUGCCACGAAAGGGCACUCCCAUCGAGAUCGCCGGUGACAAAACUGGAGAAGGGUGUAGGACGUCAAGUCCUCACGUGGCCCUUAUGGUAGGGCCUUCACGUCAUACAAUGGUCGGACAGAGUCGCCAACCCGCGAGGGGGAGCCAAUCCUAGAACCCAGACGAACUGGACCGCAGUCUGCAACUCGACUGCGUGAAGUCGGAAUCGCUAGUAAUCGCGGAUCACGUCGCGGGUGAAUACGUUCCUGGUCUCGUACACCGCUCCGGUCAUGGUCAUGGGAGUGGGUUUUACCAGAAGUAGUUAGCCUGAACCGUAAGGAGGGAAGAUUAAUACGAGAUUCAUGACUGGGGUGAAGUCGUAAUGGUAUGCAA
This 1428-nucleotide ribosomal RNA is filed under the name uncultured Bordetella sp. RNAcentral's name for it is "partial 16S-23S ribosomal RNA intergenic spacer". It matches the Rfam family "Bacterial small subunit ribosomal RNA". The record is from RNAcentral. Lineage: Bacteria; Pseudomonadati; Pseudomonadota; Betaproteobacteria; Burkholderiales; Alcaligenaceae.